RNAcentral lists this long non-coding RNA (419 nucleotides) under Chinchilla lanigera (long-tailed chinchilla). RNAcentral's name for it is "lncRNA (ENSCLAG00000028665.1)". Lineage: Eukaryota; Metazoa; Chordata; Mammalia; Rodentia; Chinchillidae. The record is from RNAcentral.
UUGUCAUCUAGAGCUUCAUGUUAACUACAGAUGAUGUCCUGGGAGACAGUGAGAGAGACUUCCAUCUUUAUAAUGCUGGAGUGGCCAAAAUCUAGAGCACUAAGGAAUGCCACAGGAGUUUUAAAGCUAUGGGAGGAAGACCUAUGCUCUUGGACACAAGUCAUCUUUGCUUGCUGUCCUUUCCAUUGGACCAGAUGUCUUGGCAUCUGGACAACAUCGUCAUCAGAAAAGCCUGGAAGAGAAGGGAACAGAAGGUAAGGCCAAGCCCCGGAGAGUUGUUGGUACAUAAGAGGGUUUGGGUUUGGAUUGGCAAGCCGAGGACGAGGACUUUCUUCUCUGCUUCUGUGCUGGGGCCUCACCUGCUCCCGGGAGACAAAGCGCCACACAGCACAGGAGCCAUGCGGCCAUGGUGGUACUGA